UACGUAGGGGGCAAGCGUUGUCCGGAUUUAUUGGGCGUAAAGAGCGUGUAGGCGGCUAGAUAGGUCCGUCGUGAAAACUCGAGGCUCAACCUCGAGACGUCGAUGGAAACCAUCUGGCUAGAGUCCGGAAGAGGAGAGUGGAAUUCCUGGUGUAGCGGUGAAAUGCGCAGAUAUCAGGAAGAACACCCGUGGCGAAAGCGGCUCUCUGGAACGGUACUGACGCUGAGACGCGAAAGCGUGGGGAGCGAACAGG
Molecule: ribosomal RNA, 253 nt
Filed under: uncultured bacterium
Lineage: Bacteria
Description: partial 16S ribosomal RNA
Rfam family: Bacterial small subunit ribosomal RNA
Source: RNAcentral